CACGUAGGCACCAAGCGUUGUCCGGAUUUAUUGGGCGUAAAGAGCUCGUAGGCGGUUCGGUAAGUCGGGUGUGAAAUCUCUGGGCUCAACCCAGAGGGGCCACCCGAUACUGCUGUGACUAGAGUGCGGUAGGGGAGUGGGGAAUUCCUGGUGUAGCGGUGAAAUGCGCAGAUAUCAGGAGGAACACCAGUGGCGAAGGCGCCACUCUGGGCCGUAACUGACGCUGAGGAGCGAAAGCGUGGGGAGCGAACAGG
This 254-nucleotide ribosomal RNA is filed under the name uncultured bacterium. RNAcentral describes it as "partial 16S ribosomal RNA". It matches the Rfam family "Bacterial small subunit ribosomal RNA", at positions 524 to 776 of the family's 1533-position model. The record is from RNAcentral.